This 408-nucleotide ribosomal RNA is filed under the name Fusobacteriota bacterium. RNAcentral's name for it is "Fusobacteria bacterium partial 16S ribosomal RNA". It matches the Rfam family "Bacterial small subunit ribosomal RNA", at positions 355 to 776 of the family's 1533-position model. Lineage: Bacteria; Fusobacteriati; Fusobacteriota. The record is from RNAcentral.
UGGGGAAUAUUGCACAAUGGACGGAAGUCUGAUGCAGCAACGCCGCGUGCGGGAUGACGGCCUUCGGGUUGUAAACCGCUUUUUCUCAUGACGAAGUUUUUUGACGGUAGUGGGGGAAGAAGCACCGGCUAACUACUUGCCAGCAGCCGCGGUGAUACGUAGGGUGCGAGCGUUGUCCGUAAUUUUUGGGCGUAAAGAGCUUGUAGGCGGUUUGUCGCGUCGAUAGUGCAAACUCAGUGCUUAACGCUGAGCCUGCUGUUGAUACGGGCAGACUAGAGGAAGGUAGGGGAGAAUGGAAUUCCCGGUGGAGCGGUGGAAUGCGCAGAUAUCGGGAGGAACACCGGUGGCGAAGGCGGUUCUCUGGGCCUUUCCUGACGCUGAGAAGCGAAAGCGUGGGGAGCGAACAGG